This 3527-nucleotide long non-coding RNA is filed under the name Homo sapiens (human). Lineage: Eukaryota; Metazoa; Chordata; Mammalia; Primates; Hominidae. The record is from RNAcentral.
CUCAUUUUUCUACUGCUCGUGCUGCCUGGCCAGGGCGACUGGCGGAUAAGGUCUUGUGCGUGGCCUCGAGGCUUAAAAGUAGCAGUGGGGCUUUGUGAAGGACAAAAUGGCGAUGGCGGGCCGUGUAGGUCCCCCUUCCUAUGAUGAGGACCUUUUCACAGACCUGUACUGAGCUCCGUGAGGAUAAAUAACUCUGAGGAGAUGGGCCCUGCAAGCCUCUUGCUUAGCCGUCUGUUCAGAAAAUAGCGUUUUCGAAAUGCCCUGAGUUGACCUAAUGUCUUAUUGGGCUCCUGUCUGCAGGAUUUACGCGCACGUUGGAACCGAAGAGAGCUCUGUUGUUGCAGUAAGUUCUUACGGCCAUUUCUUAAUCUCUGCUCUUUCGUUGAGUGUGUGGAAGUUGCUACGGGGAUGAUUUUACGAACUGAACUCUCUCUUUCUGAUGGAUUAGUGGAGAAAACAGAAAAUUCUGAGUAGCACUGUACUGUACGCAACAAAUGUCAGGGCCCUAUUGAUUUGUCUGAGGUGUUAGUGAAGGGUGUUAUUUUUUCAGAUGUUCAGCCCACAAGAGCUUACUGGUGAAGGAAUGGGACAAGACCCAUCUUUAUGCAAAGCCAGCGUUACAGUAAUGUUCCAGGUAGGUGUACAUGGUUUAUGCUCUUACAGAGGAGACCUUGUAGAUAACCACUCCAUGAUGAACACAAAAUGACAAGCAUAUGGCUGAACUUUCAAGUGAUGUCAUCUUACUACUGAGAAGUGAGAGAGAGGUCUUAAGGGGUCUUUGAAUGACUAUUUUUAGGUACAUAAAAUGCUUUCCUCUGUUGUCUACAGCAUCUCAUAAUCUAUCCUGGGGAAUUCAGCUGCCUCCCAGGGUGAAUACAGGUAAUUAUCCAAAUUGGUGUAUGUCAUCUUUGUAAAUGUUCAAGAAAACAAGUGGCCGGCGGAACAAUGUUUUUUGGCGCCUUCCAUCUUGUUCCUCUUGAAAUGAUUUUCUGGGGAGGGAGAUCGCAACCCGGUACUACAGUUCUUGUAAGGGUGUGCUGUUACCCUCAUCCAUAUAUCGAUCACGUUACUGUCAGAUGAUUUGAAUUGAUAAGCUGAUGUUCUGUGAGGUACAAAAGUUAAUAGCAUGUUAGAGUUCUGAUGGCAGUUGUUGUUUAUGAAUAAGCUUCAUUCCAUCCUAAUACCUUAAAAUAACUAAUUUGCUUUCCUUUCCAGGUAUUCCUGAUGACAGUCUGCCUCUAUCUUACAGUAAGUUGUUUUUCGAAUUCUAUGGGCCUAUUAUCUAAUAGAUAACUUAGCCAUUUUGAUAUUUGUUACCAAAGCCUGCUUAACCCAUAAAGUUUUCUGGUUCCUCUUGUUCUCUGUAGUGAUGUUUCUAGAUAGAUGCCCACUGAUAUAUGCCCCUUUUUUCUCAGAUAGAUGCCCACUGAUCUGCCCAGGGUCAGACGAAUGCUUGUCAGUUGUAGCUUUCCAGGAUUCUGCUCCAAUGAGGAGGAAACAUCCUGCCUUACCCCUGUUUUAGCCUGGGAACCAGUAAUUGUGAACUCACCAGGGUUAACAUGAAGAGGGCAUGAGAGCUUAUUCCAUAAGGAAUUGUCUGAGACAUUUGGUUACCUUUUCUUAGUUUGUCCAUUAGCAACCGUAACUAAAAUAGUUUUGGCUGUUUGGGAUAAUUAGCUAAUUGAAUGAUUUUUUGAUUCAGGAGCAGCUUGUUGCUAUAUACCAUUGAAAAGCCUUCAGAGCUGAGAGGUUAGUUGAUAUUUUUUGUUCCUUACAGCUUAUGCCACCAAGUAGGCAGUUUCUAUGAUGAAUCAAACUAGCUCACUAUGACCGACAGUGAAAAUACAUGAACACCUGAGAAACUGGAGAACGCAGGGAGUGGGGGGUAACCAUGUCUGAGGAAUCUUUCACCCACAGCUUUGUUUUUCUCUAGGUACUACUAACCAAUAACCUGCUUGGCUCAAAGGGCCAGCACCUUCUCUCUAAAGCCCAAGAGGAGUUUGAGGUAAAUGGCUUUGCAAUAGUUACCAUCAAUGGCUGCUAUAUAAAAUUUUCUGUGAUUUUUGUGUGUGAUAGCACUGUGGUCUGGGUGAAUGUACACAGACAUAACUGGCUUAACCCAAAGUCUUUGAUCUCCUGAACCACCAGUGAUGAAUUGCUGCUCACCAGUGAUGAGUUGAAUACCGCCCCAGUCUGAUCAAUGUGUGACUGAAAGGUAUUUUCUGAGCUGUGAGCCUGCCUUCCAGUGACAUGUUCUAAAAAUUGCAAGUUAUUUGAGGAGGCUUUACAGCCAAUAGGAAGUUCUUGGGCUAAGUAGUGUUUCCUAUAAAAUGUGCCCUGAAACUUCUUUCUGCCAAGCAAUAGAUACAAUUGAGAGAUUGUAAAAUGUGACAUAGAAUGAAAGUCUCUCAAGACUACAUUUUUCUUUCUUGAUUUUGCAGGAAAACUAGGUGUCUGUGUUCACUCCAGGCUGAAGUUACAGGUGAGUAAACCUAAAUGUAAGGUGGACUAUGCUAAAAAUUCCCAAUGAAGAAACUUUCACAUGUCUUACUCUCUGUCCUAGUCCCAGAGCCUGUAAAGGUGAACCCACUGGGACUGGCUGGGGGAGAAGAGGAAGAUUUGUUCCAGAAGGAACUGUCUGAGGGAUGAUAAAGAUUUCUAUACAGAGAAAGGGAGUAAUCAUCACUUGUUGAAAACAUUGGUUUUAUUUUUUCCAGGUCUGAGCAAAUAAGGUGUAUAAAAAAUGGUAGGUAUCUGUUUAAAUAUUUAACUGAUUUUAUAAUAGCAACCUUUUGCUCCUAGGUUACAUAGUGUUAAAUAUUGUGUUCAUUUGUAUUUUCCAAUCCAAUAAGAACUUUUUUUUUUACCUCUGCAGGAAUCUGUCUUGGAGGACAUCAGAAGGUGAAUUUUCCAAGUUCUUGGACAACCUAGCUGUUGAAAAGCUUUCUGGGUUUGGGGGGUAUUUCAGAUGUACCUUAAAGUGUUAGCAGACACAGAUUAAGACACUGGGAGCCAAUGAAACAGCAGUUGAGGGUUUGCUGUGUAUCACAUUUCUGUAUUUUAUCACCCCCUUCCUGCAACAUUAUUUAUCUGGAAUCUACCUGCCCUUUUGUUUUUUAGAUACAAGGGCUUGGUUUUGUUACCCAGGCUGGUUUCAAGGCCAUAGCUUUAAGAGAUCCUCUCACCACAGAUUUCCAAAGUGCUGGGAUUGCAGGUGUGAUUCAUGGCACCCAGACUUUGCUGCCUUUCUUACAUGAUCCAGGCCCAGAACCCAAACUCAGGCACUGUAUAGAUGACCACUUUCGUAAACUACUGACCUAGCUUGUUGCCAAUUGUUGAUUGAACUUCCCAUAACUCCACUUCGUGUCUGUUCCUCUGUAUACAGCCACCUUCUGUUCCCGUCAUGAGCCUUUAGGUCUCCAUUUGCAUAUUGCAAAUACUAUGUUCCAUGUAGGUAGCUCAUUCAGGGCCUUGCUCUUCACUUCAAAAAAGGUUCCCUUGAGGACUGGCUGUCAAUUUGUGUUGCU